GGAGUGGCCGAUGCCUGAUUAGCUAGUUGGUGGGGUAAAGGCCUACCAAGGCGACGAUCAGUAGUUGGUCUGAGAGGACGACCAGCCACACUGGGACUGAGACACGGCCCAGACUCCUACGGGAGGCAGCAGUGGGGAAUUUUGGACAAUGGGCGAAAGCCUGAUCCAGCAAUGCCGCGUGAGUGAAGAAGGCCUUCGGGUUGUAAAGCUCUUUCAGUCGAGAAGAAAAGAUUGUGAUUAAUAAUCACAAUUCAUGACGGUAUCGACAGAAGAAGCACCGGCUAACUACGUGCCAGCAGCCGCGGUAAUACGUAGGGUGCGAGCGUUAAUCGGAAUUACUGGGCGUAAAGGGUGCGCAGGCGGCUUUGUAAGUCAGAUGUGAAACCCCCGGG
RNAcentral lists this ribosomal RNA (392 nucleotides) under uncultured ammonia-oxidizing bacterium. RNAcentral describes it as "bacterial SSU rRNA". It matches the Rfam family "Bacterial small subunit ribosomal RNA", at positions 223 to 607 of the family's 1533-position model. The record is from RNAcentral.